GACGAACGCUGGCGGCGUGCUUAACACAUGCAAGUCGAACGGAAAGGCCCUGCUUUUGUGGGGUGCUCGAGUGGCGAACGGGUGAGUAACACGUGAGUAACCUGCCCUUGACUUUGGGAUAACUUCAGGAAAAUGGGGCUAAUACCGGAUAGGAUCUCCUGCUGCACGGUGGGGGUUGGUAAGAUUCGGCGGUUGUGGCUGGACUCGAGGCUUAUCCGCUUGUUGGUGGGGUAGUGGCUUACCACGGCUUUGACGGGUAGCCGGCCUGAGAGGGUGAACGGCCACAUUGGGCCUGAGAUACGGACCAGACUCCUACGGGAGGCAGCAGUGGGGAAUAUUGCACAAUGGGCGGAAGCCUGAUGCAGCAAUGCUGCGUGCGUGAUGACGGCUUUUGGGUUGUAAACCGCUGUCGCCGGUGACGAAGCGUGAGUGACGGUAAUGGGUAAAGAAGCACCGGCUAACUACGUG
Molecule: ribosomal RNA, 468 nt
Filed under: uncultured bacterium
Lineage: Bacteria
Description: partial 16S ribosomal RNA
Rfam family: Bacterial small subunit ribosomal RNA
Source: RNAcentral